Molecule: transfer RNA, 72 nt
Filed under: Sphingomonas sp. 28-62-11
Lineage: Bacteria; Pseudomonadati; Pseudomonadota; Alphaproteobacteria; Sphingomonadales; Sphingomonadaceae
Description: tRNA-Ala
Source: RNAcentral
UGCGCCAUUUCUUGAGGGAAUGCUGCAAUCGCGCUGCAGAGGUCAGGGGUUCGAUUCCCCUCGGCUCCACCA